This 336-nucleotide unclassified non-coding RNA is filed under the name soil metagenome. RNAcentral's name for it is "partial contains 5.8S ribosomal RNA, internal transcribed spacer 2, and large subunit ribosomal RNA". The stretch from base 1 to 120 matches the Rfam family "5.8S ribosomal RNA", at positions 35 to 154 of the family's 154-position model. The record is from RNAcentral.
GAUGAAGAACGCAGCGAAAUGCGAUAAGUAGUGUGAAUUGCAGAAUUCAGUGAAUCAUCGAAUCUUUGAACGCACAUUGCGCCCCUUGGUAUUCCAUGGGGCAUGCCUGUCCGAGCGUCAUUUGUACCUUCAAGCUUUGCUUGGUGUUGGGUGUUUGUCUCGCCUUUGCGUGUAGACUCGCCUUAAAAUAAUUGGCAGCCGGCGUAUUGAUUUCGGAGCGCAGUACAUCUCGCGCUUUGCACUCAUAACGACAGCGUCCAAAAGUACAUUUUACACUCUUGACCUCGGAUCAGGUAGGGAUACCCGCUGAACUUAAGCAUAUCAAUAAGCGGAGGA